Molecule: unclassified non-coding RNA, 358 nt
Filed under: uncultured fungus
Lineage: Eukaryota; Fungi
Description: partial contains small subunit ribosomal RNA, internal transcribed spacer 1, and 5.8S ribosomal RNA
Rfam family: Eukaryotic small subunit ribosomal RNA (bases 1-73)
Source: RNAcentral
GCAAACUUGGUCAUUUAGAGGAAGUAAAAGUCGUAACAAGGUUUCCGUAGGUGAACCUGCGGAAGGAUCAUCACUGAUUCGGGGGGAGUGUGUGUGCGUGCGCGUUUGCGCGUGCGCCGCGCCACCCCAACCAAUCUUUUGUGCACGGUUUCACGGUCAACGAGACGCCGCGCGUGUGUUGGCAAGUGUGUGUACUACUACACCACUACUACUUGCCAACCGCAUGCGUCGUGCGCGUUCUCUGCCUACUUACACAAUCUUGUGCAAUCUCUGUCUAACGCAUUACUUGAUAUUACUACACUUACACACAACUUUCAACAAUGGAUCUCUUGGCUCUCGCAUCGAUGAAGAACGCAGC